UACGGAGGAUGCAAGCGUUAUCCGGAAUGAUUGGGCGUAAAGCGUCCGCAGGUGGCACUUCAAGUCUGCUGUUAAAUACUAGGGCUUAACCCUGGAGCGGCAGUGGAAACUGAAGAGCUAGAGUUCGGUAGGGGUAGAGGGAAUUCCCGGUGUAGCGGUGAAAUGCGUAGAGAUUGGCAAGAACACCGGUGGCGAAAGCGCUCUGCUGGAACGAAACUGACACUCAGGGACGAAAGCUAGGGGAGCGAAUGGG
RNAcentral lists this ribosomal RNA (253 nucleotides) under uncultured bacterium. RNAcentral's name for it is "partial 16S ribosomal RNA". It matches the Rfam family "Bacterial small subunit ribosomal RNA", at positions 524 to 776 of the family's 1533-position model. The record is from RNAcentral.